RNAcentral lists this ribosomal RNA (236 nucleotides) under uncultured Blastocystis sp. RNAcentral's name for it is "partial small subunit ribosomal RNA". It matches the Rfam family "Eukaryotic small subunit ribosomal RNA", at positions 116 to 369 of the family's 1831-position model. Lineage: Eukaryota; Bigyra; Opalinata; Blastocystidae. The record is from RNAcentral.
UUUAUUUGAUGAAGAAUACUAAUUGGAUAACCGUAGUAAUUCUAGAGCUAAUACAUGUAUAAAGUCUUGUAGACUGCAUUUAUUAGAAUGAAAACCAUAGGUUUCGGCCUAUUCUCGAGAAAAAAAUAACUAAUCAUAUCGUAUGCUUACGUAACGAUGUGUCUUUCAAGUUUCUGCCCUAUCAGCUUUCGAUGGUAGUGUAUUGGACUACCAUGGCAGUAACGGGUAACGAAGAA